UACACACCGCCCGUCACGUCAUGGGAGUUGUCAAUGCUUGAAGUCCGUGGGCCAACCCUUCGGGGGGCAGCGGCCGAGGGCAGGGCAGCGACUGGGACGAAGUCGUAACAAGGUACCC
This 118-nucleotide ribosomal RNA is filed under the name uncultured bacterium. RNAcentral describes it as "partial 16S ribosomal RNA". It matches the Rfam family "Bacterial small subunit ribosomal RNA", at positions 1384 to 1501 of the family's 1533-position model. The record is from RNAcentral.